UACAAACACACUUUUCAUCUCUUACAUCUUUAACAAAUCCAAGUUCUUGAAAAAUAUCAAAAGAAUAUGACUUCUUCUACUUUGUCUUUCUUUCGACUCUCAAGCGUUCAAAUUCAAACCCCACCUCUUAAAAAAUCAAUUUUUCUUGAUCAAUCUAUGAAUAUUAGUAGUGUUCAUAUCAAAUUCAUACUUAAACUAUUAUCAACCUCAGUUACUACAACAACAAAAUUCAAUCUUUAUGAGAUUUUUGGAGGUAGAGGUCUAUGUAAUGGGUAUUGUUGUUUGAUAAUGUACCGGAGAAGAAAAAAGUAUGGGGUGUGUGUGAGGGUAUGGGGUGCGGGCUAGGGGUGANNNNNNNN
Molecule: long non-coding RNA, 359 nt
Filed under: Capsicum annuum
Lineage: Eukaryota; Viridiplantae; Streptophyta; Magnoliopsida; Solanales; Solanaceae
Description: long non-coding RNA (CANN_LNC004858)
Source: RNAcentral